UACGUAGGGGGCAAGCGUUGUCCGGAUUUAUUGGGCGUAAAGAGCGUGUAGGCGGCUUUACAGGUCCGUUGUGAAAACUCGAGGCUCAACCUCGAGACGCCGGUGGAAACCGUAAGGCUAGAGUCCGGAAGAGGGGAGUGGAAUUCCUGGUGUAGCGGUGGAAUGCGCAGAUAUCAGGAAGAACACCAACGGCGAAGGCAGCACGCUGGGACGAUACUGACGCUGAGGCGCGAAAGCGUGGGGAGCGAACAGG
RNAcentral lists this ribosomal RNA (253 nucleotides) under uncultured bacterium. RNAcentral's name for it is "partial 16S ribosomal RNA". It matches the Rfam family "Bacterial small subunit ribosomal RNA", at positions 524 to 776 of the family's 1533-position model. The record is from RNAcentral.